This 1953-nucleotide long non-coding RNA is filed under the name Lupinus angustifolius (narrow-leaved blue lupine). RNAcentral describes it as "long non-coding RNA (LANG_LNC001517)". The record is from RNAcentral. Lineage: Eukaryota; Viridiplantae; Streptophyta; Magnoliopsida; Fabales; Fabaceae.
GUAAACGUAAUUAAUGGUAAGUUUACCCAUCAUGCUUCGGUUUAUUUACUGAAGAGUGGAUACUUAUUUUGAUCCUUAAAAGUUUUCAUGUAUAACAAUUUGACCUUGAAAAAAUAAAAAUUUAAAAUAAAAUGCUAAAAAUAUUUGACCAACAAUUGAUUUUUUGAGACUAUUUUGGGGUUUUUAAAUUUUCAGGAUCAAAUCGGUCUAAAAUAUUUCUUCUACUCUUUAUUUAAAUUCCUUGUAUCAAAGACAGUUUGUUCUAAACCACACAUUUUUUCAAAUGCUUUGUGCAGUUGUAGAGUAAUGAAUUUCAAUAUAAGUGAAUCUAUAAUCACAGAGGGUGAUUAUGUUGGCAGAAUUUCCUUGUGGAAAAUCCCAGAAGAAAACAAAUUCUCUGUCAUUUUGUUUCAUACUGUAAUUAUAUAUCAUCAUUUUUUAUUAAAUUUUACUUUAUGCUUAUUCUCUGUAUGCAUAAAUAACCUUGGAAUACUUUUUGUUUCUUAUCAGUUUGUAUGUGAAUCAUAUUCAUACAUAAUAAGUCUUGGAACAAUGUGUGUAUGUGCAUCAUAGAAGAGCAAUGUUGAUUAAGAAUUGAAGUGUGUUAAUGGUGGGAGCUACUAGGAACUUUCCAAAUACUAACUAAUACAUGAUUAGAAAUGGGUAUUUUUCUUAGUAAGAUUAGCUUGUUCCUUUGUCUCAACUCUCAACUUGUCCAUGUGAUUAAUAAUCAAUCAAUAUAAAAGAUAUUCAUGAUGCCAAGCUGUAAGUCACAUUCUACUUACCUCACCAGCCAAAUUUUAGGUGCCAAAACUAUGUGUCUAUGGGUGUCUGUUUCCAAUGGUGUCCGAUUCUUUAUCAUGUACCAAUUAGAUUUUAACAAGUAAUAUAAAAAGAGGAGGGAUCCACUUACUCCCAAAUAAGUUUUAUAAACUUACUCCCCAUCAUAGCUAUCAAUUAUAGAGAAAUCCAAUAGUUUCAAUUAAUGAGUAAAUCUAAACCGUUAGAUGUUCAUAUAAUUGAUGUGAGAGUAUCUGAUUAGUGCGAGAUAGGGAAUAAAAUUUGCACCCUCUAUUAUAUUGUUUCAUAUCUUUGACUUAACAUUUUUAUAGUCAAACUAACUCCCUUAUUAUUUUGAUUACCCUUGAAUGUAUAGAUAAUGAUUAUUUAGGAGGGAUAUAAAAUUCUUUAUCAUCAAUCAUUUUUCUGAAUAUUUAACUUGUUUUUGCUUGUAUGCAUGUAUAUGACAAUUUAAUAGUUGACUUUAACACUAUUUUACCUAAUGUAUGUGGCAGGGAAAUUGUUUGAAGUUACCUGUAAUAUGCUUGGAGCUUUUGGAAAAGUCUGCUAAUGGAAUCGCUUUCUCAACUAAUCGCUUAAAAAAAUAAAAAAUAAAGAGGGAAUUUAUGUAAACGUAAUUAAUGGUAAGUUUACCCAUCAUGCUUCGGUUUAUUUACUGAAGAGUGGAUACUUAUUUUGAUCCUUAAAAGUUUUCAUGUAUAACAAUUUGACCUUGAAAAAAUAAAAAUUUAAAAUAAAAUGCUAAAAAUAUUUGACCAACAAUUGAUUUUUUGAGACUAUUUUGGGGUUUUUAAAUUUUCAGGAUCAAAUCGGUCUAAAAUAUUUCUUCUACUCUUUAUUUAAAUUCCUUGUAUCAAAGACAGUUUGUUCUAAACCACACAUUUUUUCAAAUGCUUUGUGCAGUUGUAGAGUAAUGAAUUUCAAUAUAAGUGAAUCUAUAAUCACAGAGGGUGAUUAUGUUGGCAGAAUUUCCUUGUGGAAAAUCCCAGAAGAAAACAAAUUCUCUGUCAUUUUGUUUCAUACUGUAAUUAUAUAUCAUCAUUUUUUAUUAAAUUUUACUUUAUGCUUAUUCUCUGUAUGCAUAAAUAACCUUGGAAUACUUUUUGUUUCUUAUCAGUUUGUAUGUGAAUCAUAUUCAUACAUAAUCUACAU